Molecule: ribosomal RNA, 497 nt
Filed under: uncultured bacterium
Lineage: Bacteria
Description: partial 16S ribosomal RNA
Rfam family: Bacterial small subunit ribosomal RNA
Source: RNAcentral
GAUGAACGCUGGCGGCGUGCCUAAUACAUGCCAGUCGAGCGAACGGACGAGAAGCUUGCUUUUCUGAUGUUAGCGGCGGACGGGUGAGUAACACGUGGAUAACCUACCUAUAAGACUGGGAUAACUUCGGGAAACCGGAGCUAAUACCGGAUAAUAUUUUGAACCGCAUGGUUCAAAAGUGAAAGACGGUCUUGCUGUCACUUAUAGAUGGAUCCGCGCUGCAUUAGCUAGUUGGUAAGGUAACGGCUUACCAAGGCAACGAUGCAUAGCCGACCUGAGAGGGUGAUCGGCCACACUGGAACUGAGACACGGUCCAGACUCCUACGGGAGGCAGCAGUAGGGAAUCUUCCGCAAUGGGCGAAAGCCUGACGGAGCAACGCCGCGUGAGCGAUGAAGGUCUUCGGAUCGUAAAACUCUGUUAUUAGGGAAGAACAUAUGUGUAAGUAACUGUGCACAUCUUGACGGUACCUAAUCAGAAAGCCACGGCUAACUACGUG